RNAcentral lists this ribosomal RNA (459 nucleotides) under uncultured Desulfovibrio sp. RNAcentral's name for it is "bacterial SSU rRNA". It matches the Rfam family "Bacterial small subunit ribosomal RNA", at positions 341 to 792 of the family's 1533-position model. The record is from RNAcentral. Lineage: Bacteria; Pseudomonadati; Thermodesulfobacteriota; Desulfovibrionia; Desulfovibrionales; Desulfovibrionaceae.
ACGGGAGGCAGCAGUGGGGAAUAUUGCGCAAUGGGCGAAAGCCUGACGCAGCGACGCCGCGUGAGGGAUGAAGGUCCUCGGAUCGUAAACCUCUGUCGGAAGGGAAGAAACUACCUGAGAGCAACUGCUCAGGUACUGACGGUACCUUCAAAGGAAGCACCGGCUAACUCCGUGCCAGCAGCCGCGGUAAUACGGAGGGUGCAAGCGUUAAUCGGAAUUACUGGGCGUAAAGCGCAUGUAGGCUGCCGAGUAAGUCAGAGGUGAAAUCCCACGGCUCAACCGUGGAACUGCCUUUGAUACUGCCCGGCUUGAAUCCAGGAGAGGGUGGCGGAAUUCCGGGUGUAGGAGUGAAAUCCGUAGAUAUCCGGAGGAACAUCAGUGGCGAAGGCGGCCACCUGGACUGGUAUUGACGCUGAGAUGCGAAAGCGUGGGUAGCAAACAGGAUUAGAUACCCUGGUA